RNAcentral lists this ribosomal RNA (684 nucleotides) under uncultured bacterium. RNAcentral describes it as "bacterial SSU rRNA". It matches the Rfam family "Bacterial small subunit ribosomal RNA", at positions 59 to 744 of the family's 1533-position model. The record is from RNAcentral.
CAGUCGAACGGGAAACCUUUUAUUGAAGCUUCGGCAGAUUUAGAUUGUUUCUAGUGGCGGACGGGUGAGUAACGCGUGGGUAACCUGCCUUAUACAGGGGGAUAACAGUCAGAAAUGACUGCUAAUACCGCAUAAGCGCACAGAGCUGCAUGGCUCGGUGUGAAAAACUCCGGUGGUAUAAGAUGGACCCGCGUUGGAUUAGCUAGUUGGUGAGGUAACGGCCCACCAAGGCGACGAUCCAUAGCCGGCCUGAGAGGGUGAACGGCCACAUUGGGACUGAGACACGGCCCAGACUCCUACGGGAGGCAGCAGUGGGGAAUAUUGCACAAUGGGGGAAACCCUGAUGCAGCGACGCCGCGUGAAGGAAGAAGUAUCUCAGUAUGUAAACUUCUAUCAGCAGGGAAGAAAAUGACGGUACCUGACUAAGAAGCCCCGGCUAACUACGUGCCAGCAGCCGCGGUAAUACGUAGGGGGCAAGCGUUAUCCGGAUUUACUGGGUGUAAAGGGAGCGUAGACGGAUGGACAAGUCUGAUGUGAAAGGCUGGGGCUCAACCCCGGGACUGCAUUGGAAACUGCCCGUCUUGAGUGCCGGAGAGGUAAGCGGAAUUCCUAGUGUAGCGGUGAAAUGCGUAGAUAUUAGGAGGAACACCAGUGGCGAAGGCGGCUUACUGGACGGUAACUGAC